UACCAGACUCCUACGGGAGGCAGCAGUGGGGAAUAUUGCACAAUGGGGGGAACCCUGAUGCAGCGACGCCGCGUGGGUGAAGGAGCACCUCGGUGCGUAAAGCCCUAUCGGCAGGGAAGAAAAGCGAACAGGUUCGCCUGGACGGUACCUGACUAAGAAGCCCCGGCUAACUACGUGCCAGCAGCCGCGGUAAUACGUAGGGAGCAAGCGUUGUCCGGAAUUACUGGGCGUAAAGGGCGCGUAGGUGGGCGCUUAAGUCAGGUGUGAAAACUCCGGGCUCAACCUGGAGACUGCACUUGAAACUGGGUGUCUUGAGGGCAGGAGAGGAAAGUGGAAUUCCUAGUGUAGCGGUGAAAUGCGUAGAUAUUAGGAGGAACACCAGUGGCGAAGGCGGCUUACUGGACUGUAACUGACGUUGAGGCUCGAAAGCGUGGGGAGCAAACAGGAUUAGAUACCCUAGUA
This 462-nucleotide ribosomal RNA is filed under the name uncultured bacterium. RNAcentral describes it as "bacterial SSU rRNA". It matches the Rfam family "Bacterial small subunit ribosomal RNA", at positions 329 to 792 of the family's 1533-position model. The record is from RNAcentral.